ACGAUGAACCAGGCUGCCGCGGGAGACCGUAAGAAAGCCCGUUUAUCCGGGCAUACGGCCUUCCCGAGGAAAGUCCGGGCUCCGCAGGGCAUGAUGCCGGGUAACUCCCGGGCGGAGGGUAUGAAUCUUCCGGCUUAAGGCCGGCGGAUAUUUAUUGGCCUUCCGACAGAUAGCGCAACAGAAAGGAUACCGCCACCCAAGAGGUAAAAGGCUUGGCUUUUUGCGUUUGGGGGGUAAGGGUGAAAUGGCGGGGUAAGAGCCCGCCUCGGCGGCGGCAACGCCGCCGGAACGAUUCCGGUUCAGCCGGAAAACGGCAAGCCUCAUCAGGAGCAAAAUCAAGCGGCGCGAAGGGAGUUUCGGCUCCUUUGCCGGCGGCCCGCCGGUCAAGCGCGGGUAGAUUGCGGGGUCAGUCCCAAAGGUCAUCCGUAAGGUUCGGCCUAAGACAGAUGGUGGCCAGGGCCGCCUCCGGCGGCCAUACAGAACCCGGCUCAUGGUUCAUCGUUUUU
Molecule: RNase P RNA, 506 nt
Filed under: Treponema sp.
Lineage: Bacteria; Pseudomonadati; Spirochaetota; Spirochaetia; Treponematales; Treponemataceae
Description: RNase P RNA component class A
Rfam family: Bacterial RNase P class A
About the family: Ribonuclease P (RNase P) is a ubiquitous endoribonuclease, found in archaea, bacteria and eukarya as well as chloroplasts and mitochondria.
Source: RNAcentral